This is a non-coding RNA of Schistosoma rodhaini, 46 nucleotides long. The record is from Rfam. NCBI's taxonomy places the organism in Eukaryota, Metazoa, Platyhelminthes, Trematoda, Strigeidida, Schistosomatidae.
GCACAGCUGAGGAGUCCCAUAAUAGGACGAAACGGCCGUCCAGUGC